Cucumis melo (muskmelon) is the source of this 514-nucleotide long non-coding RNA. RefSeq lists it as uncharacterized. NCBI's taxonomy places the organism in Eukaryota, Viridiplantae, Streptophyta, Magnoliopsida, Cucurbitales, Cucurbitaceae. The record is from RefSeq and is a predicted model, not a curated record. The transcript is spliced from 2 exons.
UUCAAUAUUUUGGGCACUAGUUAAUUUAAUUUGGAAUUAAAUUAGAUCAUUUUUCCUUAAGGGACGUCUUGGACCAAGUAAGUGCUGCAGCGCGGGAAUUCUUCAGCAGGGGGGCUCGAGCACUGCAACCUCUCUAGGGUAAGUUAUUUCAAAUGAGUCUUGAACCGAUAGUCGUUGGCGACCUAAUUACGAAUUUUGGCAUAUUAAACAGUUAGGACCUCGUCGCUUGGAAAGCGUACUGCCUCGCGGUUAGGACUCGUCAAGUAAAUCUCCAGGUAGAGGACGGGGCAAGGGCAAGGGCAAGCUGGCGAGCGACCCGAAGUGAGACCGUGGAGGGCCAUAGGGACUACCGCUUCCGCUUAUUCUUAUUUCAGAUUUUCGCAUUUGAAUUUGAGUACUUUUCAUCACUUACCAUCUUUUAUGUAGAUAGGGCCCGAGUAGGAUUUCAGAACGCUUUUACAUUUUUGCAUGACUACCUUGUUUAAAUUUUAUAAAUAAAAUUUCUUAAACCGUA